Molecule: ribosomal RNA, 436 nt
Filed under: Escherichia coli
Lineage: Bacteria; Pseudomonadati; Pseudomonadota; Gammaproteobacteria; Enterobacterales; Enterobacteriaceae
Description: partial 23S ribosomal RNA
Rfam family: Bacterial large subunit ribosomal RNA
Source: RNAcentral
GUUUAGUAUUUGGUCGUAGACCCGAAACCAGGUGAUCUACCCUUGGUCAGGUUGAAGUUCAGGUAACACUGAAUGGAGGACCGAACCGACUUACGUUGAAAAGUGAGCGGAUGAACUGAGGGUAGCGGAGAAAUUCCAAUCGAACCUGGAGAUAGCUGGUUCUCUCCGAAAUAGCUUUAGGGCUAGCCUCAAGUGAUGAUUAUUGGAGGUAGAGCACUGUUUGGACGAGGGGCCCCUCUCGGGUUACCGAAUUCAGACAAACUCCGAAUGCCAAUUAAUUUAACUUGGGAGUCAGAACAUGGGUGAUAAGGUCCGUGUUCGAAAGGGAAACAGCCCAGACCACCAGCUAAGGUCCCAAAAUAUAUGUUAAGUGGAAAAGGAUGUGGCGUUGCCCAGACAACUAGGAUGUUGGCUUAGAAGCAGCCAUCAUUUAAAG